AUGACAUGUCUUCUGCUUUUCAGAACAUGUUUUGAAGCUGUCUGUAUUGAACGGUAUAAUAUCAGCAGGAUGAAAUAUAGAUUAAUACUACUGCCUACUGGAUCUUCUUUCUCAAGACAAGAUUUCCAAACUGAAGAAAGGUGUUGCAGUAAUUUACAUUCCUAUCAACAGUGUGUAAGUACAUUCCUUUUCCCUGCACCUACAAGUUUUCUUCUGAAAGGAAAAAUUAGAAUUCAAGAUGGAAAGCAAGGUACAUUUAAUUUUGUUUUUUAUACAAUGAUUUAUGAAGACAAUGGUAUAUAUAUCUAUGAGCUGCUUUUGUCUUAUAAUAAGAGUCAAAGAAAUGGAUAGUACUAAGCGUAGUUUAUAGGAUGUAUUUGUAGGUAAUAACUAAUAAAAACUGAGUAUUUAAGAAUUAAGCUUCUUUUUAUUCUAAAGGAAUGUUUUUAGUGUUCAUUCAGUUUUGGGACUAUUUUGGUACUUUUUCAUGUUUCCAGGCCCCAUUCCAGCAAUUACUACUUCUGUUCAAAGAAAAAGUAUGAUCUUUUUCUUCUGUAAACUUCUGUUGCGUUGUAGUCCUUAAUUGGCCUUAAUUACUUUUACCUUCGUGUUCCUCUGAUCCAUGUAUUGCUGUCUGGUUACUGAGCAUUUGAUCUGUUUUCCCUUCAGCUCUGAAUUGCCUUCCAAAAAGAAAAAUGAUAGUUUUAGAAGUAUGAGUGUUAGUAAUUCUCUCAUUCAAAAUCUCUAUUUAUUUUACUGUUUUCCUAGAAGGGUCUGACACUUUAAAUUUGUAUGCUUAAAAAUCAAGUGAAGUAACUUUUAAACAGGAUUCUAUAGCCAAUGUAUGGCUGUUACUAGAGUGAACUGUGCUUAAAAACUUCCCAGGAAACCAUAAGCAUUAAUCUAGAGGAAGGUAAGACCCUGGGUGUCUUCUCUAUUGUGCCAUAUGGAUACUUUCUGUAUGAAACAACCUUUCAAAAAAGUCCUUUAGCUACUUAUGUUCAUUUAAAUGGAAGUUAUUAACUAGAGUUUUAAUUUUAAGCUAGAAAAGUGUUAUAUCAAGAUUGAUUUUUAUGAACGUUUAUUGAGUAGGUCAUGUGCCAGCCAUGUUUGUGAGGCAAAAUGCAAUCCUCAAAACAGUCUCAUGAGCAGAUGUUACUCCCAUAUUCUGUAUAAGCAAACUGAGAUUCAAAGGGUUAUGUAAUUUGUACAAAGUCAGUACAACUGCUUGUUGUGUAUUUCAUCUCUCAUUGCGCUCAGUCAGCAUCCACUUGGACUUCUAACCCGUCACCAAAGCAGAAGACACAGAAAUUGUACGGAAGCCAACUUCAGAGCGUCCACCAGUCGCAUUCCUAUGUUCGACACAAAGGACGCUAUAAUGGCACAUUGGUCCUGUUAAUAUCAGUUAGUCACACCAACUGUCAUAUCCUUUGAGCAUAUCCUUUUUCUUUUUACAGAAACAAACUGCCUCUGGACAAAUGUGCAAGUUCCCACAAAUUUCUCAAUAAACCUGAUAGAUUUCAACUCAGCGAAGGAGUUAAUGACUCCCCUUCCCUACAUUUUGCUUUGACUUUAUUGAUUAGAAGACUUUUCUGCUUUUAGGCAACAUCUUUUUUUGGUGGAAUCUCUACAUUUUUGGUUAAUUCUCAUUACUAUAACUCAGCACAGUUUUCAAUUUCCAAGCUCACAAUUUGAUCCAAAGAAUUGCAAAUUUUUCUGCUUCAUCUUUUAGGUGCAAGCACCUCCUGUGUCUUGGAACAGCCGGAGGGAGUUGGAGAGGUGUCUCUGUCUUCAUCUGGCCCUGGCUUAGAUCUCUUUGUUGGUGGCUAAUGCUUCUCUGCUGGUCCUCCAGGCUUCUGUGUGGAAGCAUCCAAAUAUCCACCUUUGACUGGGGCACAGGGCGUAGUCUCUCCACUUCCCAGUUAUCAGAGUGGAACCCCAUCCCAUGGCUUACAGCCCUGACCAUCCCCACCACCACUAGUCUAGCCACAGAUUUUUGCUGCCACAAUCCAGAAUUUGAGUGGCACCUGGUAAACAGCUUUCUUGGGUAAACUAUGAUGAAAGACAGCUGCAGUCAUAGCUGUCUAUUCCAAGUCAGUCUCUUUGCACCAUAAUGUUGCUUUCAUUCUCUUCCCACACAGGCAGAGCUAAGCAUACCCACAGGCAGCAUCCUUUCUUGUAGGAAGGCCCUCUUGGAAUUGUCUCUAACCACAUUCACACUUUCCAGCCUAUUCAGGGAAGGAUGUUACAUCUUACUUGGAAGUAGUCAUCUUCUCACUGCUUGAGAGGAAGAAGACAAUCUUCUCAUUGUCGUCAAGGCCAACAUCUGCACUGUCCCCUUCUCUUGUUUAGCAGUCAUUCCAACCUUGCCUGCUAUUAGAAUUACCUAGAGAGCUUUAAAAACAUCUUAUUGCCAAGGGUGGCACCACAGUACAAUCAAAUGUCUUUACAAGAGGCAUCUAGGCACCAGUAGAUUUGCAAGCUUCCACGUAAUUCCAAUGUGCAGUCAAGGUUGAGAACCACUGUGAACAGACUGGCAGUGGGGUUGUGAAUAACUGGAAGCCUGAUUUUGCUAUCUCUUAAUUCCUGGCAGAUGCUGGGUGCUAUCUGCAGCUGUUCACAUUCUAAACUGUUAGGAUACUUCUGUCUUGUGGUUUCCAGUCAUGGAUCCUAGACAAUCAUUCCAGGAAAAAUUCUUCUCAAUAUCCUGUUCCACAAGGAUGAAAUGACAUGCUUGAGUAUAGAAAGUGAAGCAGAAAGAGGGCCUUUUGUUUUCCUCAUCUUUGGCCCCUAAAAGGGAGGUUACCAUAAAAUUCAUCACCACCAAGUAUUUGUGCUACAAAUGAGUUGUAUGAACCAGUGCAACAGCUUGCUUUCUAUUCCUUCAUUUUCAGGGCAAAUACAGGCAGACAAUACAUGUGGUUAGUUUUCUCUCCCUCCCUUUUUGUUUGUUUAAGGAAUGCAUAAUACUGAAACUUGUUUGUUGUGGUUUAACUAGUCAUGGUUUGGUUGUAGUGAAAUGUAAAAUGACUGUAGCUAAGGGAGAGAAAUUCCAUCUGUAAAAUUAGAGAACAUAUCCAAAUCUAAAGUUUGAGGAGAAAAGAAAACAUGUUGAUAAAGAGGCAGCAAAGAGCCUCAGUGACAGGGAUCAUGAAAACUUGUGUUGACUGUAUAGUAACAGAAAUUUUAAAGUGAAAGAAAAAAAGGAUUUGCAGUCGGGAGCCUUGUAUUCUAGGUUUCAGUCUGCUGCUAACUGUUUUGGAGAGGCACCUAGAGCAGUAGUUAGUAACCUGGUGUAUGGAGUCUACCUCCACCUGCCUGGAAACCAAUCCUGGCUUUACUACUGACAGGGGGAGUCUCUUAAUUUCUCUGUGCCCCAGUUUCCUCAUCUGCAGAAUGAGGAUCACAGUAGCACCACAUAAGAUUGUUAUGAAAAUGAAAUGAGUUAAUGCUCUAAAAUAUUCCAUGUGAGCAACUGUUAAUUGAAAAGUAAUCUGAGCAUUUCAUUAGGUCUUUAUGUACUUCAAUAUACUCAUCUUUAAAAUACCUAAAAACCUCUAUCUUCCCUCCUUCCAAUACCUAUACAGAUUUGCAUUUUUCAUUUGCCUGGUUAAUUUUAUUUAUUUAUAGAUAAUUAACACUCAAACAGCUUUGGAACUACAUAUAACAGCCUAUCUUCACCAGUGGGAUUAAUAAUAUAACAGAGCUUUGAUUUGUUUUAAAGAUAUCACAAUAAUAAUUAUUAAAUAAGGAUUAGCUAUUCAGGAAGACUAGUUCUUGAGAGUGUCAGAAACAGUUUAUUAUAUGCUAAAAAAUUAGAGAUUUGGACUCCACUGAGGAAAAGUCACCAAUGUCCUUUGCAAUCUAAUUGUGAACUCAUGAUGUCUUCCCUCCAUGUCUUGGUUCCUACUGCUUUUGCUACCUGGAAGCCCUUUGUGUCCAACAGCAUUGCAAAGAGCUGAGCUAUCCUUCAGUCACUAGCUCGAAUACCUCUUUCAUUACACCUUCCUUGAUUUUUGUUGUUGGAAAUGAUCACUACCUUCAGUACCUUGUAUCAAUCCCUCCUACAAAAUUUUGGGCAUUAUAUUCAGAACUAUAGUUAUUUGUCUCCUUAUCUUUGGCCUUCACAUUAGACUAUGGAGCUCAUGCCUGCAUGUAUGGUAUCCUGUAUCAUAAUAUAUAGUCUUAUUUAUUAUACUUUCAGUUCCAGACUACAUGUGCAAAUUGUGCAGGUUUGUUUCAUAGGUAUGCACGUGCCAUGGUGGUGGUUUGCUGCAUCCAUCGCCCUGUCAUCUACAUUAGGUAUUUCUCCUGAAUAUAUCCCUCCCCAAUCCUCCCACCCCCUGCUAUUCCUCCCCUAGCCCCUCACCCCCUAGCCCUCAGUGUGUGUGUUCUCAUUGUUCAACACCCACUUAUGAGUGAGAACAUGCAGUGUUUGGUUUUCUGUUCUUGCGUCAGUUUUCUGAGAAUGAUGGUUUCCAGUGUCUUCCAUGUCCCUGCAAAGGACAUGAACUCAUCUUUUUUUAUGGCUGCAUAGUAUUCCACAGUGUAUAUGUGCCACAUUUUCUUUAUCCAGUCUAUCAUUGAUGGGCAUUUGGGUUGGUUCCAAGUUUUUGCCAUUGUGAACAGUGCUGCAAUAAACAUACGUGUGCAUGUGUCUUUAUAAUAGAAUGAUUUAUAAUCCUUUGGGUAUAUAUCCAGUAAUGGGAUUUCUGGGUCAAAUGGUGUUUCUAUUUCUAGGUCCUUGAGGAAUCACCACGCUGUCUUCCACAAUGGUUGAAUUAAUUUACACUCCCACCAACAGUGUAAAAGCAUUCCCAUUUCUCCACAUCCUCUCUAGCAUCUGUUGUCUCCAGAUUUUUUAAUGAUCGCCAUUCUAACUGGUGUGAGGUGGUAUCUCAAGGUGGUUUUGAUUUGUAUUUCUUAAAACCACAUAAUACAUAGUCUUUAAAUGAAAGACUUUGAACAGAAGAACAAUUCUUAUUUUCCAACUUAAAAACAGUUAAUUUUUUAAAUAGAUGUUUUAAUUUCAUGGCCAA
RNAcentral lists this long non-coding RNA (5039 nucleotides) under Callithrix jacchus (white-tufted-ear marmoset). RNAcentral describes it as "lncRNA (ENSCJAG00000074705.1)". Lineage: Eukaryota; Metazoa; Chordata; Mammalia; Primates; Cebidae. The record is from RNAcentral.